GUAAUAUCCGGUGUUGGAGGUGGAGCCUGGUGGGAGGUGAUUGGAUCAUGCGGGCAGAUUUCUCAUGAAUGGUUUAGCAGCAUCCCCUUUGUCCUGCCCUUGGAACAAUGAGUUAUCUGUCAGAUCUGGUAGUUAAAGAGUGUGUGGCACCUCCCCCUCGCUCUCUUCCUCCUGCUACUGCCAUGUGAGAUACCUGCCCCUACUUUGCCUUCUUCCAUGAUUGGAAGCUUCCUGAGGCCACCCCAGAGUCAGAAGCCGCUAUGCUUCCUGGACAGCUUGCAGAACCCUCCUCCAUUAACCCCUGCAGAGUAUUCACUGACUGCUGAAACUAGAGCAUCACUGAGAAGCAAGAGAUAGACUGACCUAACUAGAGGGAGAGCUGCCAUCCAGGAUGAUGCCACCAUCACAGGAGGUGAGAAGGAACACAGCAUCUUCUGCAAAUGCUACAGUAAAUAGGGACGGGGUGCAGCAAUGUGAGGAAAGUGGAAUGAACUUGGACUUUGAAGGCAAACUAACCUGGAAUCAAAUACUGGCUCUGCUGUUUGCAAGUGUGAUCUUUGGGUAUGCUUCCUAAUCUGUGAGCUUCAACUUCCUCCUCUGUAAACCAAGAUCAAAGACAAACAGGGAAACCUACUUGUCUGGUGCCCAUCCCCUUGGCAGAACACUCCUCUGAAGGAUGACAGUUUGGCUGUGCCAGGGCAGAGCUGCCGACACCAAAUGAGCCUUCAUAGCAACUAUCUGAUGAGGAACUCACUGGCCUACCUUUCCUUGACAGCUGGGGCCUGCCAGCCUUGAAGCAUGACUCCACAACGCCCCUACCCAAGGCCAUGGAGGUUGCUGCUGAUGAGCAAGCUGUUUUAUAUUUAAUCCAGGUUUCUGCUUGGAGAGGAAGAAGGUAGAGGAGCCAGCGAAGGUUUGUCUGAAUGAUACUUGCAGAAAAAACACUGGUAACAGUCACAAAACUUUGAAAAUUAAAGUGCCAGCGAGGUGGCUUUUGGUGGCCAGAUGAAAGCUGUUAACCCCAGCUUUUACAAAUGCUGGGCUUUGAGUAAGAGGAGAGUGUCUUUCUGGAAAAGUUUGAGACCUCUUACUAUUGUAGCAGCAAAAGCAUCCACGGCUAGUGUUUUCCAAGCUCACUGCUACUUGUUGCAGUCUAGCAGUGUUGUGUCUCCUGAAAUUCCUACCUUUCUUGAUGGAUGUAAAAGAAGUACCAAUUUAUUAAGCUCCUAGUAUGUGCCAGAUGCUCCAUAUAUGUUACUUUUGAUCUUCAGAACCACUCAGCAACUUACUGCUUCUCCUCACUCCCAAUUACAUAGAUGAUGAAAUUGAAGCAGAGUAGUUUGUCUAGGAUUACAGAGCUAGGAGGGACCAGAGUUGGGAUUCUCCCUCAGUUCUAAUACACAGUAUGCUACAUUUCCUGUCGAGUAGUAACAAAGCUUCUAAGAAAUCUGAGUUUUCAUUUGUUAAAACUGAAUUUUUAAGAAAUGUAGACAGGAGCACUAAGUACUCUAUAGUUUAACGUUAAUAAUGGUACAAGUAUAUAACCAGUUUCUCAUGCACUGGCAUAACAUACUUCAGAGGGUACACCAGGGCUGGAUGAAUAUCUGAACCCAAAAAUAUCUGAGACAGGUCUCAGUUAACUUAGAAAGUUUAUUUUUCCAAUUUUGAGGACAUGCACCCAUGACACAGCCUCAGGUGGUCCUGACGACAUGUGCCCAAGGUAGUUAGGGCAAAGCUUUUUUUUAUACACUUUAGAGAGACAGGAGAUAUCAAUCAAUAUAUGUAAGAUGUACAUUGGUUAUGUCCAGAAAGACAGGACAACUAAAGCAGGGAGGGGGCUUCCAGGUCUUAUGUAGGUGAGAGAUAAAUGGUUGCAUUCCUUUGAGUUUCUGACUAGCUUUUCCAAAGGAGGCAAUCAAAUAUGCAUUUAUCUCAGUGAGCAGAGGGGUGACUUUGAAUAGAAUGGGAGGCAGGUUUGCCCUAAACAGUUCCCAGCUUGACUUUUCCGUUUAGCUUAGUGAUGUUGGGGCCCUGAGAUUUAUUUUCCUUUCACACUUCUUCCAUUUUCUUUUUAAAAAUCUUUUGAAGAAAGCAUUUUAGAAGAAAAUGAGUCUCUGCUCUCAUGGCUAGGAUAGUUUAUUCCUACAGGGGUAGGUCCCAAGUUAUUAGGAAAGCUCAUUUUUAGCAGAUUGAGAAGUCUCAUGUCCUGUGAAGAGACAAUAGUAGGAGGAAGGGAGAAAAACAACAAACAAGAGAACAAUCCUAGAAAAUCUAUAUAGACCACAUUACUUUGAAGUCCAUACAUCAGUAGGUAGGUAUGAAAGUGGCUUAUGUACCUAAAUAGUUUGCUUUUAUUUUCUUCUGAAGUUUAAGUUGUCUAGAUUCAGUUUGCAGGACUUUAGAAAGUACAGCUUAGUUUUCAAUUAUUUCGAAUUAGGAAAAAUGGGGUGAGGGGAAGGAAAAGAAGGAAAAAAAUUGAAAACAUUAUUUUGGAGACUUGUAGCCAGGAAAAAUUAGAAUUCAGUCUAAACUGUAGAAAAUAAUAAAAAUAGAAAAACAUUAGGCAAGACUAAAAUCUAACAACAGGUGCACUAUAGUUUUUGAAACGUAUUUUUUCUCUCUCCAGUUUCCCAUUUUCACUAAAAACAAAUCAUAGAAGAACCAAUUUGCUUUAUUAUACUUGGCCAGAUUAUUUGUAUGAAGUGAAGCAAGAAUAAUUAUUUUUCACAUAGGCUUUUAAAAUUAGCUUUGAUGGACUUCUUCCAUAGAAGGAAUCUCACAUAAGCCUUUUUUAAAGCCAAGCCCAGCCACAGAUUUGUACCAUCAAAUACCUAUGAGUUGGGUGAAUUAUUCUCCUUUUGAGUUCCAACAUAACUUAGGGCUCUUGGGCCUGUCAGAAAGUGACAUUCUUUACUUACCACAGGUCAGGAACACCGUUCAGGGACUGUGCAGACAAGGUAUGAGGCCAGUUUCCCCAAGGGGUUUUUAUUGGCUCUAUAAAUCAAGUUUAAUACCUUAAAGGAAAGCACACCAUUCCAGCCAAAGACUCAGUAAAAUAACCAGUUUCUCCAAUUGUGUCCUGUUACAAAUAAAAACAGAUUCUUAUUUCACUUAUGCAAAUAAC
This is a long non-coding RNA of Homo sapiens (human), 3124 nucleotides long. Ensembl annotates it as KRT19 interacting long noncoding RNA in hepatocellular carcinoma. Its record names the gene KILH. The record is from Ensembl. NCBI's taxonomy places the organism in Eukaryota, Metazoa, Chordata, Mammalia, Primates, Hominidae.